CAGCGUAGCGUAGCCCGACGUCAAGGAAGUGAACAGAAGACAACAGCAACAUCAGCAGAAAUGAUUCGAAAAGUAAAGAAGCGACUUGAUCGAAACCCGCGUUGCACCCAUUGAAAUUCCAAAAAUUGCAAAAACUUACACCGCAACAGAAAAAAAUUAGACUCAAACGAGCUAAAGAGUUGCUUCGCUUGGUCGAAAGUAAUGAACUGCUGAAUUUGGUUUUCUCCGAUGAGAAAACAUUCGUUAUCCAGUAGUUUGUAAACAAUCAAAAUGAUCGUGUUUAUUUGCCAAAGAGGACAGCUGAAAAUGCGCACCUUCGAUUGCCCACCAGAACUCAAGCGCCAUGGUGAUGGUGUGGGUUGCCAUAACAGCCGAUGGUCCCUCGGCUCGUAUUAAUCGACCGUGUCAUCAGAAUAAAUGCCGAAUAUUAUCGCGAAAAUAUUCUGGAGGGUGUAUUAAAGCCUUGGGCAUGCAAACAUUUUGGCCGCAGACCUUGGAAUGUCCAGGACUCAGCACGCCCCACCCAAGAAUGGUUACAAAGUGAGGUUCGUUCCUCCCUUCAUUUCCAGCGCACAAUGGCCACCAAAAUCUCCGGAUACCAAUCCGUUAGACUAUUGUGUCUGGAAUAUUUUAGAAAGCAAGGUUGGCACUAAAAAAUAGGAAAGUGUCGAUCACCUCAAGCAAGCGCUUCGCCGGGAAUGGACCAAAAUAUCGCAGAGCAACAUUCGGGCAGCUUGUGACGGUCUCAUUGGCCUUUUGAAGGCCAUAUUUCGUGUCAAAGGUGACCAAUUCGAACAAAUCUAAAGUUAUUAUAAAUUUGAAAAAAAAAUAUAAAUA
This is a long non-coding RNA of Musca vetustissima, 837 nucleotides long. RefSeq lists it as uncharacterized. Lineage: Eukaryota; Metazoa; Arthropoda; Insecta; Diptera; Muscidae. The transcript has 2 exons. The record is from RefSeq and is a predicted model, not a curated record.